RNAcentral lists this ribosomal RNA (992 nucleotides) under Bryoria fremontii. Its description in RNAcentral is "SSU rRNA". It matches the Rfam family "Bacterial small subunit ribosomal RNA", at positions 183 to 1147 of the family's 1533-position model. Lineage: Eukaryota; Fungi; Ascomycota; Lecanoromycetes; Lecanorales; Parmeliaceae. The record is from RNAcentral.
AGAAGAUCCCUUAUAAUAAUAAAGAAAGUUAAGUUUCGCUCUUAGAAGUUUGUAUCUCGUGUGUGGUAGUAGUUAGGAUUAAAAGCCUAACUAGCUAUACGCACGUAGUCGUAACUGAAAGGUUGAUCGACCACAGUGGGCCUGAAGAAAGCCCAUGACGAUUGUCACAGCAGUGAGGAAUAUUGGUCAAUAGCCUAACGGCUGAACCAGCAACUUGGAGGAAUGUAUAGCAAUAGCUACUUGCAUCUUUGUAAAUAUGAUGCAAGAUCGACUAUGUCGAAUAAAAUUCUAGGUAGAAUUAUGAUAAUGACAUUGUCUGCCUAUGUGUCUUGACCAAAUUACGUGCCAGCCGUCGCGGUAAUACGUAGAAGACUAGUGUUAUUCAUGUUUAAUCGGUUUAAAGGGUACCUAGACGGUAAAUCAAGCCUACAAAUAAAAGAAAUGAAGGGACUAAUUUGCUAGAGUUACUUGUGAGGGGGUAUUAAAGUACUGCUGGUGUAGAGAUGAAAUUCUGUCAUACCUCUUUUCAAUAGAAAAAUAAUGGCACAGGUAUAGGCGAAGGCAUCCCCUUAUGUGAUAACUGACGUUGAGGGACGAAGGCUUUGUGUAGCGAACAGGAUUAGAUACCCCAGUAGUCAAAGCAGAAAAUGAUGAAUGUCAUAGAUUAGAUAAAUAAGUUUAUUCUAUAAAUGAAAGUGUAAGCAUUCCACCUCAAGAGUAAUUUGGCAACAUUGGAACUGAAAUCAUUAGACCGUUUCUGAAACCAGUAGUGAAGUAUGUUGUUUAAUUUGAUGAUCCGCAAAAAACCUUACCACAAUUUGAAUAUUUAUAUUUUUUUUAUUGUUUUAUUUUUAAGGCAAUAAGAUAUAUUUACAAGCGUUGCACGGCUGUCUUCAGUUAAUGUCGCGAGACUCUGGUUAGUUCCAUGAAAUUAACGUAAACCCUUACUUUAUUUUUAUAUAGAGUAGUUCCCCGCUAUAUUGGAUAUGAUA